AAAGUUGAAGAUGAUGAAGAUGAAGAAAUACGUUUUUCUGGUUUUUUUUUUGGUUUUUUUUUUUUUUUUAGUUUU
RNAcentral lists this non-coding RNA (75 nucleotides) under uncultured Tubulinea. The record is from RNAcentral. Lineage: Eukaryota; Tubulinea.